Molecule: ribosomal RNA, 267 nt
Filed under: Escherichia coli
Lineage: Bacteria; Pseudomonadati; Pseudomonadota; Gammaproteobacteria; Enterobacterales; Enterobacteriaceae
Description: partial 23S ribosomal RNA
Rfam family: Bacterial large subunit ribosomal RNA
Source: RNAcentral
UCCUAGUACGAGAGGACCGGAGUGGACGCAUCACUGGUGUUCGGGUUGUCAUGCCAAUGGCACUGCCCGGUAGCUAAAUGCGGAAGAGAUAAGUGCUGAAAGCAUCUAAGCACGAAACUUGCCCCGAGAUGAGUUCUCCCUGACUCCUUGAGAGUCCUGAAGGAACGUUGAAGACGACGACGUUGAUAGGCCGGGUGUGUAAGCGCAGCGAUGCGUUGAGCUAACCGGUACUAAUGAACCGUGAGGCUUAACCUUACAACGCCGAAG